Molecule: long non-coding RNA, 1610 nt
Organism: Sphaeramia orbicularis (orbiculate cardinalfish)
Lineage: Eukaryota; Metazoa; Chordata; Actinopteri; Kurtiformes; Apogonidae
Exons: 2
Source: RefSeq, a predicted model, not a curated record
UACAUUUCCCCAAGUGACUGAAUUCAAUAACACAGAGCCCAAAUGAACAGAAAAAAAUGGAUUUUAUUAAUGCGGGUCAGACAGUUCCUUUAAAGCGAACCGAGCUGGAGUCCGACGGUUUCAGUACACGACAAACAUGACACGUCUGAUCGGAACUCGCCGCCUCCUUCUGCAUCAGCUCAAAUUGAACAGGGGGGAAUUAAGAAAUCGGCGACUGUUUCUCUGUGCGACAACAACCGUCGGUUUAAAAAAAAAAACAACAGCGCCCUUGUGCUCUGGAUAACGCUCAAAAAACAAACACGCACGUCUCUGAAAUAGUGUUUAAAACAUCAGUUGUUGUGUUAGUGCACAUAAAACCACAGGGCUCUCGCUCUCUAACUUGGCCACAUCGAACAUGACACCGGUAGCAACGCAGCCGCGACUGCGACCGACAACAAGUACACAACAGUGAAGAAGGAAUGUUCUGCGAAAUGAACAAAAAAACAAACAUAAAAACAGCUUGUUGCAUCAUAUUCAGCCAGGCAGUCUACCGCCGUCUCCUGUUUCCAUGAAGACGACGACAUCAUCAUCAGUCAGACGGUUUCAGUCAACAACAGAAAAGGCAGAGACGUGAAGAAGAAACUAUCUCGACUUCAACCGCCUGAACACACACACACACCGAAAAGUACAGGUAGGCUUCGUCCGAGUCCAAAGGCUGAUGUGGGCGUCGCCCGGUCCACGUUGGCACCUCGUCUAACAAAAUUAAACAACAAGUUUAUGGCUGAAAUUCUGCGCGAAAAAAACCCAUCCCCUUAGGUCCACAAACAACUGCAUCUGUUAGCAUCAAGAAUAAGCGCUGGAAGUUUGUCUUUAAGUAUAAAACGACUGAUGAUCUUUUAUACUUUUAUGGCCCGGUAAAAACUAAACAAGAACAAAAAAAAGACGACAAAUGGCAAAUGAGGUGUUGGCAGCGUUUAUAUUAUUACUAUUAUUGUAGAAUAUCGCAGCUUAUUACAUUGAUUUGAGUUGUUUCUAAGGAUUGACUCCGUGGCACGUAAAAGUUAAGUCUAAACUGUUCUGUAAAUAGAGCUGAGCGAUAAAAGAAGAAUGAAUUCUACAAGAGAAUUUAAUAUUAUGAGAAAUAUCCUUGUGAUCAUUUUCCGUUUAUUUUGUCUUUUAGGUGUAUUUUAUUUAGAUUAAUGAAAGUGAGUCAGAAUAAACAAAAAAACAAGAGCAAAUUCGCACUAAAUUCUAAUAGAAACUGGACAUGUUUUAAUCGUGCUGGGCCUUUUACAUUAUUUUCAUCUUAUUCUGUUUUUUAGCUGUUUUAGUCGUUUUCAUUUUUUUUGCAUCUUUUCCGCCAAUUUCAUGUUUUUUUUUUUUACAUCCGUCUCAUGUUCUUACCACAAAGAACUGUCUGAUUUCUUUCGCUCGGGAGCAAAAUGUGCCUUUAAAACGUUAAAUAAUUCCAUUUAUUGCAAUAAGUAUCGAUAUCGACCGACUGGAAAAUUACGAUCACGGUAUAAUUUUUUUUUCGUCUUAUCGCUCAGCCCUAACUGUAAAAAGAUAAACUCGCAGUAUUCCAGUGCUGAAAACAUAAAUGUAAAUGAACAGUUAAAGGUAAAUGGAUG